This 1521-nucleotide ribosomal RNA is filed under the name Shigella boydii. RNAcentral describes it as "bacterial SSU rRNA". It matches the Rfam family "Bacterial small subunit ribosomal RNA". Lineage: Bacteria; Pseudomonadati; Pseudomonadota; Gammaproteobacteria; Enterobacterales; Enterobacteriaceae. The record is from RNAcentral.
AGAGUUUGAUCAUGGCUCAGAUUGAACGCUGGCGGCAGGCCUAACACAUGCAAGUCGAACGGUAACAGGAAGCAGCUUGCUGCUUCGCUGACGAGUGGCGGACGGGUGAGUAAUGUCUGGGAAACUGCCUGAUGGAGGGGGAUAACUACUGGAAACGGUAGCUAAUACCGCAUAAUGUCGCAAGACCAAAGAGGGGGACCUCGGGCCUCUUGCCAUCGGAUGUGCCCAGAUGGGAUUAGCUUGUUGGUGGGGUAACGGCUCACCAAGGCGACGAUCCCUAGCUGGUCUGAGAGGAUGACCAGCCACACUGGAACUGAGACACGGUCCAGACUCCUACGGGAGGCAGCAGUGGGGAAUAUUGCACAAUGGGCGCAAGCCUGAUGCAGCCAUGCCGCGUGUAUGAAGAAGGCCUUCGGGUUGUAAAGUACUUUCAGCGGGGAGGAAGGGAGUAAAGUUAAUACCUUUGCUCAUUGACGUUACCCGCAGAAGAAGCACCGGCUAACUCCGUGCCAGCAGCCGCGGUAAUACGGAGGGUGCAAGCGUUAAUCGGAAUUACUGGGCGUAAAGCGCACGCAGGCGGUUUGUUAAGUCAGAUGUGAAAUCCCCGGGCUCAACCUGGGAACUGCAUCUGAUACUGGCAAGCUUGAGUCUCGUAGAGGGGGGUAGAAUUCCAGGUGUAGCGGUGAAAUGCGUAGAGAUCUGGAGGAAUACCGGUGGCGAAGGCGGCCCCCUGGACGAAGACUGACGCUCAGGUGCGAAAGCGUGGGGAGCAAACAGGAUUAGAUACCCUGGUAGUCCACGCCGUAAACGAUGUCGACUUGGAGGUUGUGCCCUUGAGGCGUGGCUUCCGGAGCUAACGCGUUAAGUCGACCGCCUGGGGAGUACGGCCGCAAGGUUAAAACUCAAAUGAAUUGACGGGGGCCCGCACAAGCGGUGGAGCAUGUGGUUUAAUUCGAUGCAACGCGAAGAACCUUACCUGGUCUUGACAUCCACGGAAGUUUUCAGAGAUGAGAAUGUGCCUUCGGGAACCGUGAGACAGGUGCUGCAUGGCUGUCGUCAGCUCGUGUUGUGAAAUGUUGGGUUAAGUCCCGCAACGAGCGCAACCCUUAUCCUUUGUUGCCAGCGGUCCGGCCGGGAACUCAAAGGAGACUGCCAGUGAUAAACUGGAGGAAGGUGGGGAUGACGUCAAGUCAUCAUGGCCCUUACGACCAGGGCUACACACGUGCUACAAUGGCGCAUACAAAGAGAAGCGACCUCGCGAGAGCAAGCGGACCUCAUAAAGUGCGUCGUAGUCCGGAUUGGAGUCUGCAACUCGACUCCAUGAAGUCGGAAUCGCUAGUAAUCGUGGAUCAGAAUGCCACGGUGAAUACGUUCCCGGGCCUUGUACACACCGCCCGUCACACCAUGGGAGUGGGUUGCAAAAGAAGUAGGUAGCUUAACCUUCGGGAGGGCGCUUACCACUUUGUGAUUCAUGACUGGGGUGAAGUCGUAACAAGGUAACCGUAGGGGAACCUGCGGUUG